Molecule: ribosomal RNA, 253 nt
Filed under: uncultured bacterium
Lineage: Bacteria
Description: partial 16S ribosomal RNA
Rfam family: Bacterial small subunit ribosomal RNA
Source: RNAcentral
UACGAAGGGGGCUAGCGUUGCUCGGAAUCACUGGGCGUAAAGCGCACGUAGGCGGAUUGCUAAGUCAGGGGUGAAAUCCUGGAGCUCAACUCCAGAACUGCCUUUGAUACUGGCGAUCUUGAGUCCGGGAGAGGUGAGUGGAACUGCGAGUGUAGAGGUGAAAUUCGUAGAUAUCGGAAGGAACAUCAGUGGCGAAAGCGACUUCCUGGACCAAUACUGACGCUCAUGUGCGAAAGCGUGGGGAGCAAACAGG